CGUAGGAGACAAACGUUAUCAGGAGUUACUGGGCGUAAAGGGCGUGCAGGCGGUGGCUUAAGUUCGGCGUGAAAGCCUCCGGCUAAACCGGGGGAGGUCGUCGGAAACUGGGUCACUAGAGGGUGAUAGAGGCGGGUGGAAUUCCGGGUGUAGUGGUGAAAUGCGUAGAGAUCCGGAGGAACACCAGUGGCGAAGGCGACCCGCUGGGUCACACCUGACGCUGAGACGCGACAGCAUGGGGAGCGAACGGGAUUAGAAACCCCGGUAGUCCAUGCCGUAAACGAUGCCAACUCGAUGUCGGGUAGGGGAAACUCUAUGGGUAUCCAAGCAAACGCGGUAAGUUGGCCGCCUGGGGAGUACGGUCGCAAGGCUA
Molecule: ribosomal RNA, 373 nt
Filed under: uncultured organism
Description: bacterial SSU rRNA
Rfam family: Bacterial small subunit ribosomal RNA
Source: RNAcentral